This 400-nucleotide transfer-messenger RNA is filed under the name uncultured Paramuribaculum sp. It matches the Rfam family "transfer-messenger RNA". Rfam says of the family: Bacterial tmRNA, also known as 10Sa RNA or SsrA, is named for its dual tRNA and mRNA-like properties. Lineage: Bacteria; Pseudomonadati; Bacteroidota; Bacteroidia; Bacteroidales; Muribaculaceae. The record is from RNAcentral.
GGGGCUGACCGGUUUUGACAGCGUGUAGAGGUGGUGUGUAAGCAUGCAGAGCCAUGAUGGAAGGCGCUCUUUAAACUCCGACAUCACACUUUUUAAAUGGCGAAAACAACUACGCUCUUGCUGCCUGAUUGAAGCACAGUAAAUCAGCUUAAUCUCCGCAACAGUUGCAGAGACAAGACAUCGCCCGAUUGUCCUGGUCCCGAGACUAAUCGACAAGGCGGUGCAGAUAAAUCGGGAAUAGCGCAAGCUGAGCCUCGCGACCGGCGCGAAAACUUAGAGGCUAAGGAUGCGGUUGGUAGUCUACGGCCUGCCGCACCACGAAAACCAAGCGAAGACUAAGCAUGUAGAAAGCACAUUAGUUCCGCGUUUGGACGAGGGUUCGAAUCCCUCCAGCUCCACU